GACGAACGCUGGCGGCGUGCUUAACACAUGCAAGUCGAACGGAAAGGCCCUGCUUUUGUGCGGUGCUCGAGGGGCGAACGGGUGAGUAACACGUGAGUAACCUGCCCCUGACGGUGGGAUAACUUCAGGAAACUGGGGCUAAUACCGGAUAGGAGCUCCUGCUGCAUGGUGGGGGUGGGAAAGUUUCGGCGGUUGGGGAUGGACUCGCGGCUCAUCAGCGUGUUGGUGGGGUAGUGGCUUACCAAGGCUCUGACGGGUUGCCGGCCUGAGAGGGGGAACGGCCACAUUGGGACUGGGAUGCGGCACGGCCUGCUACGGGAGGCAGGGGUGGGGAAGGGUGCACGGUGGGCGGAAGGAUGGUGCAGCGAAGCCGCGUGGGGGAUGUCGGCAUGCGGGUUGGAAAGCGCUUUCGCCUGUGACGAAGCGUGAGUGACGGUAAUGGGUGAAGAAGCACCGGCUAACUACGUG
RNAcentral lists this ribosomal RNA (468 nucleotides) under uncultured bacterium. RNAcentral's name for it is "partial 16S ribosomal RNA". It matches the Rfam family "Bacterial small subunit ribosomal RNA", at positions 28 to 507 of the family's 1533-position model. The record is from RNAcentral.